Molecule: ribosomal RNA, 432 nt
Filed under: uncultured bacterium
Lineage: Bacteria
Description: bacterial SSU rRNA
Rfam family: Bacterial small subunit ribosomal RNA
Source: RNAcentral
ACGAACGCUGGCGGCAGGCCUAACACAUGCAAGUCGAGCGAGACCUUCGGGUCUAGCGGCGGACGGGUGAGUAACGCGUGGGAACGUGCCCUUUGGUACGGAAUAGCCCCGGGAAACUGGGAGUAAUACCGUAUAAGCUCUUCGGAGGAAAGAUUUAUCGCCAAAGGAUCGGCCCGCGUUGGAUUAGGUAGUUGGUGGGGUAAUGGCCUACCAAGCCGACGAUCCAUAGCUGGUUUGAGAGGAUGAUCAGCCACACUGGGACUGAGACACGGCCCAGACUCCUACGGGAGGCAGCAGUGGGGAAUCUUAGACAAUGGGCGCAAGCCUGAUCUAGCCAUGCCGCGUGAGCGAUGAAGGCCUUAGGGUUGUAAAGCUCUUUCAGUGGGGAAGAUAAUGACUGUACCCACAGAAGAAGCCCCGGCUAACUCCGUG